This 841-nucleotide ribosomal RNA is filed under the name uncultured candidate division GN03 bacterium. Its description in RNAcentral is "bacterial SSU rRNA". It matches the Rfam family "Bacterial small subunit ribosomal RNA", at positions 474 to 1317 of the family's 1533-position model. The record is from RNAcentral.
GGUACCUCCAAAGGAAGCUCCGGCUAACUCCGUGCCAGCAGCCGCGGUAAUACGGAGGGAGCAAACGUUGUUCGGAUUUACUGGGUGUAAAGGGUGCGUAGGCGGCUACGUGUGUCAGAGGUGAAAGCUCACGGCUCAACCGUGGAACUGCCUUUGAAACUGCGUAGCUUGAGUCCGAGAGAGGAUGGUGGAAUUCCUGGUGUAACGGUGAAAUGUGCAGAUAUCAGGAAGAACACCGGUGGCGAAGGCGGCCAUCUGGCUCGGUACUGACGCUGAGGCACGAAAGCUAGGGUAUCGAACGGGAUUAGAUACCCCGGUAGUCCUAGCCGUAAACGAUGUCCACUAGGUGUCGGAGGUCCUACCCCUUCGGUGCCGGAGCUAACGCAUUAAGUGGACCACCUGGGGAGUACGCUCGCAAGGGUGAAACUCAAAGGAAUUGACGGGGGCCCGCACAAGCGGUGGAGCAUGUGGUUUAAUUCGAUGCAACGCGAAGAACCUUACCUGGGCUUGACAUGCAGGGGACAGGUGUAGAGAUACACCCUUCUUCGGACUCCUGUACAGGUGCUGCAUGGCUGUCGUCAGCUCGUGUCGUGAAAUGUUGGGUUAAGUCCCGCAACGAGCGCAACCCUUGUCCUUAGUUGCCAGCACGUCAUGGUGGGAACUCUAGGGAGACUGCCGGUGACAAACCGGAGGAAGGUGGGGACGACGUCAAGUCAUCAUGGCCCUUACGUCCAGGGCUACACACGUGCUACAAUGGCACAUACAGAGGGCAGCGAACCCGCGAGGGGAAGCCAAUCCCAAAAAGUGUGCCUCAGUUCGGAUCGCAGUCUGCAACUCGACU